CCUACGGGGGGCAGCAGUGGGGAAUCUUGCGCAAUGGGCGAAAGCCUGACGCAGCCAUGCCGCGUGAAUGAUGAAGGUCUUAGGAUUGUAAAAUUCUUUCACCGGGGACGAUAAUGACGGUACCCGGAGAAGAAGCCCCGGCUAACUUCGUGCCAGCAGCCGCGGUAAUACGAAGGGGGCUAGCGUUGCUCGGAAUUACUGGGCGUAAAGGGCGCGUAGGCGGAUCGUUAAGUCAGAGGUGAAAUCCCAGGGCUCAACCCUGGAACUGCCUUUGAUACUGGCGAUCUUGAGUAUGAGAGAGGUAUGUGGAACUCCGAGUGUAGAGGUGAAAUUCGUAGAUAUUCGGAAGAACACCAGUGGCGAAGGCGACAUACUGGCUCAUUACUGACGCUGAGGCGCGAAAGCGUGGGGAGCAAACAGGAUUAGAUACCCCAGUAGUC
This 440-nucleotide ribosomal RNA is filed under the name uncultured bacterium. RNAcentral describes it as "bacterial SSU rRNA". It matches the Rfam family "Bacterial small subunit ribosomal RNA", at positions 338 to 795 of the family's 1533-position model. The record is from RNAcentral.